UGCCUAACACAUGCAAGUCGAACGAACUCUGGUAUUGAUUGGUGCUUGCAUCAUGAUUUACAUUUGAGUGAGUGGCGAACUGGUGAGUAACACGUGGGAAACCUGCCCAGAAGCGGGGGAUAACACCUGGAAACAGAUGCUAAUACCGCAUAACAACUUGGACCGCAUGGUCCGAGUUUGAAAGAUGGCUUCGGCUAUCACUUCUGGAUGGUCCCGCGGCGUAUUAGCUAGAUGGUGAGGUAACGGCUCACCAUGGCAAUGAUACGUAGCCGACCUGAGAGGGUAAUCGGCCACAUUGGGACUGAGACACGGCCCAAACUCCUACGGGAGGCAGCAGUAGGGAAUCUUCCACAAUGGACGAAAGUCUGAUGGAGCAACGCCGCGUGAGUGAAGAAGGGUUUCGGCUCGUAAAACUCUGUUGUUAAAGAAGAACAUAUCUGAGAGUAACUGUUCAGGUAUUGACGG
This 465-nucleotide ribosomal RNA is filed under the name Lactiplantibacillus plantarum. RNAcentral's name for it is "bacterial SSU rRNA". It matches the Rfam family "Bacterial small subunit ribosomal RNA", at positions 45 to 475 of the family's 1533-position model. The record is from RNAcentral. Lineage: Bacteria; Bacillati; Bacillota; Bacilli; Lactobacillales; Lactobacillaceae.